GUACUUACUCCUACGGGAGGCAGCAGUGGGGAAUAUUGCACAAUGGGCGGAAGCCUGAUGCAGCGACGCCGCGUGGGGGAUGACGGCCUUCGGGUUGUAAACUCCUUUCGACAGGGACGAAGCUUUUUGUGACGGUACCUGUAUAAGAAGCACCGGCUAACUACGUGCCAGCAGCCGCGGUAAUACGUAGGGUGCGAGCGUUGUCCGGAAUUACUGGGCGUAAAGAGCUCGUAGGUGGUUUGUCGCGUCGUCUGUGAAAUUCCGGGGCUUAACUCCGGGCGUGCAGGCGAUACGGGCAUAACUUGAGUGCUGUAGGGGAGACUGGAAUUCCUGGUGUAGCGGUGAAAUGCGCAGAUAUCAGGAGGAACACCGAUGGCGAAGGCAGGUCUCUGGGCAGUAACUGACGCUGAGGAGCGAAAGCAUGGGUAGCGAACAGGAUUAGAUACCCUUGUAGUCCAGGCAU
This 463-nucleotide ribosomal RNA is filed under the name uncultured bacterium. RNAcentral's name for it is "bacterial SSU rRNA". It matches the Rfam family "Bacterial small subunit ribosomal RNA", at positions 329 to 802 of the family's 1533-position model. The record is from RNAcentral.